This 823-nucleotide long non-coding RNA is filed under the name Piliocolobus tephrosceles (Ugandan red Colobus). RNAcentral's name for it is "lncRNA (ENSPTEG00000032112.1)". The record is from RNAcentral. Lineage: Eukaryota; Metazoa; Chordata; Mammalia; Primates; Cercopithecidae.
CUGGGCAGCCUCUUAAGGCUUCUAGGAAUUCGCAUCCUCCGCGCCCCCGCCAGCGGAUCGGUUGCGAGAGGGACCGUUCGGGCCCGCGGGGCCGGGAAUGGAGGAGACCCCGGGCGACGGUGGGGCUCUUGGGCAUUCUGAGACUGCGCUUGGUGGAGCCCCCUACUGGCCCGACCGGAUUUCUCAGCCUGCGACUCAGCCCCAGGCUACGCGAAAGAGGCCGGACCCGGGUAAUUCUUCUAGUUCUUCUUCUUCUUCUUUUUUUUUUUUUUUAAUUGCACUGGGAAACUUACCCAAUCUCGGCCCCAGUUCUUUCCCACUCACUAUCUGCAAACUAAGAGUCAUGGUCUUUCGCCCGCUAGUCCAAUAUGCAUCCCUAGGCGCGUCAUUUUAUCUCUUGUCAGCUUUUACUGCCUCCUGAGGCCUUCCUCUUGUUCACACUGAGUGUCCAGUCCUUCCAAAUCUGACUACACUCUACUGGCAAGGAACACCUGGGCCAUGUUUUAGAGAUCAUCUGAAGACUAACCCCAAAAGUUUAUGAAGAGAAAGCGGAGGCCAAGCUGGAGAUGGACCCGGGUCACACCCAGGUAGAGGCAGGAUCUAAACUCAAACUGGUGUCAAAUCUGGUUGCCUUGCACCCCUGAUACCAGGUGAAGCAACACUGGGCAGGAUCCAGCAGAGUGAAGUCAGAGUGUGAAGACCCAGCCUGAUGCCCAAACUGAUGCCUCUUCAUUCUCCCCCGCUCCGUCUGUAAAUAAUCCAUCUACUUUAUUGCAUUAUAUGGAGAAAUAAAUGAAAUGUCAUAGCUGUAUGCUCUAUAUGA